Molecule: ribosomal RNA, 426 nt
Filed under: uncultured bacterium
Lineage: Bacteria
Description: bacterial SSU rRNA
Rfam family: Bacterial small subunit ribosomal RNA
Source: RNAcentral
GUGGGGAAUCUUGCACAAUGGGGGAAACCCUGAUGCAGCGACGCCGCGUGAGCGAUGAAGCCCUUCGGGGUGUAAAGCUCUUUCGGCAGGAACGAAUACUGACGGUACCUGCAGAAGAAGCUGCGGCUAACUACGUGCCAGCAGCCGCGGUAAUACGUAGGCAGCGAGCGUUGUUCGGAGUUAUUGGGCGUAAAGAGUGCGUAGGCGGCCUGGCAAGUCCGGUGUGAAAUCUCCCGGCUCAACUGGGAGGGUGCGCCGGAAACUGCCGGGCUCGAGUGCGGGAGAGGAGAGCGGAAUUCCUGGUGUAGCGGUGAAAUGCGUAGAUAUCAGGAGGAACACCGGCGGUGUAGACGGCUCUCUGGACCGUGACUGACGCUGAGGCACGAAAGCGUGGGGAGCAAACAGGAUUAGAAACCCCAGUAGUCC